AUGAUUCCCCUCCCAAAAUUCAUCCCCAGAUCUCGUACUGAUACCCCCUCUUCUCUUUUUGUUUAAUCAGCUUGUUUUGGCAUUACGAUAAAGAGAGAAAGAAACCGGACACGCAACAUCUCCAUUGAAUCCAUCUAAUCUCUCCUCUGAUUGAACGCGAACCAAAGGAAGAAGAACAUAAAUCGGAAGCCAUCCGAUUCUAGACCUUAAUCGGAGCGCUGAAAACCAAUUAAGGACUAACGUGAUUAAGAAGGAAGAAACUAUGCCUGUCAGCAUUGGGUGAAUGGAGGUAGAAACAGAGGAAACUGAAAAUGGUAAUAAUGAUGUAUCUCGUCCCUAAAGAGGCUAAUGAUCAGCCGAAGGAACUACUAUACUAGAAACAAGCUUCUAAAAGGCUAUUGCAGAAUGGGAUACGGGUACUGAUGCGGGUCCUCUUGUAACUAGGCCUAGGCAUAUUCGGUUUGAAUCUCUUCAUGAAGGUAUAUAGGGGUGCUAAACGGGUCAUGUUCGCGGGUUUGCGGGUCAACCCGAACCCGAAAAUUUUAGACUGAUGCGAACCCGAAAAUCAUGCCGUACAUAUGAAUCCGAACCCGAAUAUUCGCAUACCGACCGAACCCGACCCGUUCAACCCGAUUUUUUUUUAUUUUUUUUCAGCAAAUUAAUAUAUUAAAAUUAACACUACAACAAAAAAAAACACAAAUUUAUAUAAUAAAAUUACAUUAAAAUCAUAUAAAUUUAUGUCAACUUCCAUUUUUAAGUUAUAUUUAUAGCAUAAAAUAUACACCCAAUUUAAUUUAUGACAUAAAACAUAUUUUUAAAAAUAUAAUAUAAUAGAAAUGGGUUAAACGGGUCAACCUGCCAACCCGACCGGGUUGACCCGAACCUGACCCGUUUAGCUAAACGGGUUCGUGGGUUCAACCUGAAACUGGCCCGAACCCGUUUAGACUAAACUCAAACCCACGAAUUUCGUGUUAGGUUCGUAUCAUGUUUUCGGAUCGUGUAAAAAAUUCACACCCCUAAAGAUAUAUGCUUAAUAUUUUAUUACAUCUCUUGAUGUGGGUCAUGUUCUUCUCAUUGUGGCUUCCUUCGUAUUGCUCCCUUUUCACCGGUACUCGCUGGUGUUGGGGAUGCUUGUGGUGCUAAUGUUCAUCCCAAUUUAUGAGCGCAUUAUAUGGGGCCUUGCUAUAGCUAGGGAGCUAUUUGAAGCCAAAAUCGGGAAGCUUGUUGAACUUGGGUUCAGUAGAGAUGCAGUUAUACAAGCUUUGAAGCUUUUUGAUGGUAAUGAAGAACAAGCAGCUGGAUAUCUUCUACCUCUGGAAAAACGUGUGAAUCUGCAGUUUUUGUUUUGAUAUUUGCUGGUGCAGCAUUUUGGAUUAAUUUGCCAUUGGUCGUUUACACCUAAAUUGUGCAAUGCAUGAAGUAGCUACCGCUGAAACUUAGGAUAUGAUGGAUCCUUGCCACCAUUGGCCCAACUAAGUUAUGGAUACUUUUGAUUCUGAGCCUGAAUUGACAAACAUUUGUUUAUCCUACAAGUUGUUCCAAAAUUUGAUUUGGAUAUUAACUAAGAUGAUGUGGAAGGCGGGUGUUCCAGCUAUGGACAGAUCAAGCAUAUAUAUGUUGACAAGUAUGUGUGUAAGUUCUUUAUCUUAGUCUACUAGAAUGAGCAUGUGUUAGAUGUGCAAAUUACCAUAACAUGGGGUUUACAAGUAGCAUGAAUAAAACAAUUGGAGGAUCAUACAACAUCAGAAUUGGCCACAAGUUACAAGUUUACUCCCCACCACAACAGCAGUAAUGUGCCACGAACCCAUGAAUGCAAAUUUGCAGCACUUUUAGGUCAAACAAUGAGUAUGCGGACUUGAAGAAAACAGUCUGGAAAUAGUUCUUAGUUUAUGUGUAAAGUCAUUUUCAUUUGCAAGUUUUGUAGAUAGGUUAGUAUUGGUAUUUAAAUUGAAUACUUAUGUAUGGAUUUUGGGUUAUUAUUAUUAAUAGCAUUUGGUUUUUAGUUUUCUCA
RNA transcript from Helianthus annuus (common sunflower), 2011 nucleotides. RefSeq lists it as uncharacterized. The record is from RefSeq and is a predicted model, not a curated record. The transcript is spliced from 6 exons. NCBI's taxonomy places the organism in Eukaryota, Viridiplantae, Streptophyta, Magnoliopsida, Asterales, Asteraceae.